UCAGGAUGAACGCUAGCUACAGGCUUAACACAUGCAAGUCGAGGGGCGAGCAUGUGGUUGCUUGCACCAAUGAUGGCGACCGGCGCACGGGUGAGUAACGCGUAUCCAACUCCCCUAGUAGAGGAUAGCCGGCGAAAGUCGGAUUAAUACUCUAUGUUCUUCAAUGCGGACAUCUAAGUUGAAGCAAAGAUUUAUCGCUAAGGGAUGGGGAUGCGUCUGAUUAGGUUGCAGGCGGGGUAACGGCCCACCUGGCCUACGAUCAGUAGGGGUUCUGAGAGGAAGGUCCCCCCACACUGGUACUGAGACACGGACCAGACUCCUACGGGAGGCAGCAGUGAGGAAUAUUGGUCAAUGGGCGCGAGCCUGAACCAGCCAAGUAGCGUGCAGGACGAACCUGCCCUAUGGGUUGUAAACUGCUUUUAUCAGGGAAUAAAGUGAGGCACGCGUGCCUUUUUGUAUGUACCUGAUGAAUAAGGACCGGCUAAUUCCGUGCCAGCAGCUGC
This 503-nucleotide ribosomal RNA is filed under the name uncultured bacterium. RNAcentral describes it as "bacterial SSU rRNA". It matches the Rfam family "Bacterial small subunit ribosomal RNA", at positions 24 to 518 of the family's 1533-position model. The record is from RNAcentral.